UGGGGAAUAUUGCACAAUGGGCGAAAGCCUGAUGCAGCAACGCCGCGUGAGCGAUGAAGGCCUUUGGGUCGUAAAGCUCUGUCCUUGGGGAAGAAAAAAAUGACGGUACCCAUGGAGGAAGCCCCGGCUAACUACGUGCCAGCAGCCGCGGUAAUACGUAGGGGGCAAGCGUUAUCCGGAAUUAUUGGGCGUAAAGAGUACGUAGGUGGUCUUUUAAGCGCAGGGUUUAAGGCAAUGGCUUAACCAUUGUUCGCCCUGUGAACUGGGAGACUUGAGUGCAGGAGAGGAAAGUGGAAUUCCUAGUGUAGCGGUGAAAUGCGUAGAUAUUAGGAGGAACACCAGUGGCGAAGGCGACUUUCUGGACUGUAACUGACACUGAGGUACGAAAGCGUGGGGAGCAAACA
This 404-nucleotide ribosomal RNA is filed under the name uncultured prokaryote. RNAcentral describes it as "bacterial SSU rRNA". It matches the Rfam family "Bacterial small subunit ribosomal RNA", at positions 355 to 774 of the family's 1533-position model. The record is from RNAcentral.